RNAcentral lists this long non-coding RNA (491 nucleotides) under Lupinus angustifolius (narrow-leaved blue lupine). RNAcentral's name for it is "long non-coding RNA (LANG_LNC002704)". The record is from RNAcentral. Lineage: Eukaryota; Viridiplantae; Streptophyta; Magnoliopsida; Fabales; Fabaceae.
ACACUCAUUGAUUAGCUUGAUGAAAGUUUGCAGCCAAAUAUAUGUUUUCCAUAUUUCUUUUUACGCAUACCGUUAACAGAGUUGAAUUCAUCAGGAGUCUGUUCCAGAAGGUUGAAAUUCAAUUGCUUACACCUUACAGUACAGAUCCCUCUUAGCCCCUUUCCAGAUCCAGUCCAUUGACUGAUAAGAACACUACAUAUACUUUUUGUUUUACAAUUUGAUGUAUCUGACUCUCUUUUAGUUAGUUAAAGGGAUAAAAGGUAAUUACUUCCAUUUGUAAUUGCAAGUUAAAUUCGUUCCUCUAUAGAUGAGUAGUUUGUUAAUAUUAUAACCUCUCAGAAUCAAAUUGUUUAGACGGUGACUUUGCAUAAUUCAAAUGCAAAUGGAAGAUUGUUGUUGCUAAAAUCACUACAUCUGGUCAAUUUCAUGUUUAUCUUCAUCUGCAUAGAUAGCUAUACCAUAUGUACUCAUAAAAAAAAACUUAUAUACCC